GGCCUAGCCGGGUGGUCUUUUUGUACUGCCUGGUUGGGUUCUUCCUUCUGGACACCCAACGUUUACUUCACUGUGAGCUUGGCGAUCCAGGACUUUUACCUUGAAAAAAUUAGAGUGUUCAAAGCAGGCUUACGCUUGAAUACAUUAGCAUGGAAUAAUAGAAUAGGACGGCAUGGUUCUAUUUUGUUGGUUUCUAGGAUCACCGUA
This 207-nucleotide ribosomal RNA is filed under the name uncultured fungus. Its description in RNAcentral is "partial small subunit ribosomal RNA". The stretch from base 79 to 207 matches the Rfam family "Eukaryotic small subunit ribosomal RNA", at positions 735 to 864 of the family's 1831-position model. The record is from RNAcentral. Lineage: Eukaryota; Fungi.